RNAcentral lists this long non-coding RNA (205 nucleotides) under Ricinus communis (castor bean). RNAcentral describes it as "long non-coding RNA (RCOM_LNC001556)". The record is from RNAcentral. Lineage: Eukaryota; Viridiplantae; Streptophyta; Magnoliopsida; Malpighiales; Euphorbiaceae.
UAAACUUUGUGUAUAUUGAGUAGGGACUGCUGUUUGAUUACUUGAUAAUUUCUUGGUUGACUGAGUUGAUAUUAGUUAUAUUUUUGGCUUGUUAUAAAGUGAAUUGAUUGUGAUGUGUUGUGAAGUGAAUUGAUUGUGAUGUGUUGUGAAGUGAAAUGAUUGUGAUUAAGGAUUGAUGACUUUUGUAUGGAUAUUGUGUGAUCGG